AAAGCUUGAUCCUGGCUUUACUAUCAACUUUGAUUAAACUUAUACAUGCAAGUCUCCGCACCCCCGUGAGGAUGCCUUCCCCUGCCCACUUUAGGCAAAAAGGAGCUGGUAUCAGGCACGACCGUAAGUCGGCCCACAACACCUUGCUUAGCCACACCCCCAAGGAUCUUCAGCAGUAAUAAACCUUAAGCAAUAAGUGAAAACUUGACUUAGUAAAUAUCAAACAGGGCCGGUCAAACUCGUGCCAGCCGCCGCGGUUAUACGAGUAGGCCCAAGUGGAUAGAAUUCGGCGUAAAGAGUGGUUAAUAGAAUCUUAUACUAAAGCCGAACGCCCUCAAAGCAGUUAUACGCAUUCGAGGGUAUGAAGCCCCACAACGAAAGUGGCUUUAAACACUAUUGAACCCACGAAAGCUAGGGAACAAACUGGGAUUAGAUACCCCGCUAUGCCUAGCCUUAAACAAAAAUAGCUCUGUACCACAAGGAUUCGCCCGGGGACUACGGGCACGAGCCUAAAACCCAAAGGAUUUGGCGGUGCUUUAGACCCCCCUAGAGGAGCCUGUUAUAGAACCGAUACUCCCCGUUAAACCUCACCCUCUCUUGCCCUUCCCGUCUAUAUACCGCCGUCGUCAGCUUACCUUCUGAGAGACUAGUAGUAAGCAAAAUUGGCAAAGCCCAAAACGUCAGGUCGAGGUGUAGCGUAUGAGGGGGGAAGAAAUGGGCUACAUUUACUGUCUCAGUACAUACGGAAGGUGGUCUGAAACCCCAUCUGAAGGAGGAUUUAGCAGUAAGGGGGAAAUAGAGUGUCCCCCUGAAGACGGCUCUGGAGCGCGCACAUACCGCCCGUCAUUCUCCCCAAUAAUUUAUAAACAAAAUAUAUAAUAAAACAAAAACUACAAGAGGGGAGGCAAGUCGUAACAUGGUAAGUGUACCGGAAGGUGCACUUGGAUCAACCC
This 953-nucleotide non-coding RNA is filed under the name Bathygobius fuscus (dusky frillgoby). Its description in RNAcentral is "partial 12S rRNA". It matches the Rfam family "Bacterial small subunit ribosomal RNA". The record is from RNAcentral. Lineage: Eukaryota; Metazoa; Chordata; Actinopteri; Gobiiformes; Gobiidae.